Molecule: ribosomal RNA, 309 nt
Filed under: uncultured archaeon
Lineage: Archaea
Description: bacterial SSU rRNA
Rfam family: Archaeal small subunit ribosomal RNA
Source: RNAcentral
CGGCCGACCGGGUCCAUCGGGAAAUCCACGCGCCCAACGCGUGGGCGUCCGGUGGAUACCAGUCGGCUUGGGGCCGGAAGACCCAGCGGGUACGUCCGGGGUAGGAGUGAAAUCCCGUAAUCCUGGACGGACCGCCGAUGGCGAAAGCACGCUGGGAAGACGGACCCGACGGUGAGGGACGAAAGCUGGGGUCUCGAACCGGAUUAGAUACCCGGGUAGUCCCAGCCGUAAACAAUGCUCGCUAGGUGUGGCGUCGGCUACGAGCCGGCGCUGUGCCGCAGGGAAGCCGCUAAGCGAGCCGCCUGGGAA